AUGGUUUGGCACCUCGAUGUCGGCUCGUCGCAUCCUGGGGCUGUACAAGGUCCCAAGGGUUCCGGAGUUCACGGAUUAAAGCGGCACGCGAGCUGGGUUCAGAACGGCGUGAGCCAGUUCGGUCCCUAUCCACUGCGCGCGAAGGAAAUUUGAGGGGAGACGCUCUUAGUACGAGAGGACCGGAGUGUACUGACCUCUGGUGUACCAAUUGUUCCGCCAGGAGCAUACGUUGGGUAGCCACGUCGGGCAGCGAUAAGCGCUGAAAGCAUCUAAGCGCCAAGCGCACCCCAAGAUUAGAUUUCCCACUUAAUGGUAAGGCCCCUUGAAGAUUACAAGGUGAUAGGUCGGAGGUGGAAGCAUGGUAACAUGUGCAGCUGACCGAUACUAAUUGGCCGAGGGCUUAUUAAG
This 408-nucleotide ribosomal RNA is filed under the name Chthonomonas sp. RNAcentral describes it as "partial 23S ribosomal RNA". It matches the Rfam family "Bacterial large subunit ribosomal RNA", at positions 2513 to 2925 of the family's 2925-position model. The record is from RNAcentral. Lineage: Bacteria; Bacillati; Armatimonadota; Chthonomonadia; Chthonomonadales; Chthonomonadaceae.